AGUGAACGCUGGCGGCGUGCUUAACACAUGCAAGUCGAACGAGAACGGAUUAUAGCUUGCUAUAACUGUCAGCUAAGUGGCGCACGGGUGAGUAAUGUAUAGAUAACCUGCCCUCUAGAAAGGAAUAACAGUUGGAAACGACUGCUAAUGCCCUAUAUGCCUUUAAUACAUAAGUAUGCAAGGGAAACGCUUUAGUGCUAGAGGAUGGGUCUGUAUGGUAUCAGUUAGUUGGUGAGGUAAUGGCUCACCAAGACUAUGACGCCUAACUGGUUUGAGAGGAUGAUCAGUCACACUGGAACUGAGACACGGUCCAGACUCCUACGGGAGGCAGCAGUGGGGAAUAUUGCACAAUGGACGAAAGUCUGAUGCAGCAACGCCGCGUGGAGGAUGACACAUUUCGGUGCGUAAACUCCUUUUAUAUAGGAAGAUAAUGACGGUACUAUAUGAAUAAGCACCGGCUAACUCCGUGCCAGCAGCCGCGGUAA
This 485-nucleotide ribosomal RNA is filed under the name uncultured bacterium. RNAcentral describes it as "partial 16S ribosomal RNA". It matches the Rfam family "Bacterial small subunit ribosomal RNA", at positions 29 to 523 of the family's 1533-position model. The record is from RNAcentral.